GACGAACGCUGGCGGCGUGCUUAACACAUGCAAGUCGAACGGAAAGGCCCUGCUUUUGUGGGGUGCUCGAGUGGCGAACGGGUGAGUAACACGUGAGUAACCUGCCCUUGACUUUGGGAUAACUUCAGGAAACUGGGGCUAAUACCGGAUAGGAGCUCCUGCUGCAUGGUGGGGGUUGGAAAGUUUCGGCGGUUGGGGAUGGACUCGCGGCUUAUCAGCUUGUUGGUGGGGUAGUGGCUUACCAAGGCUUUGACGGGUAGCCGGCCUGAGAGGGUGACCGGCCACAUUGGGACUGAGAUACGGACCAGAAUCCUACGGGCGGCAGUAGUGGGGAAUAUUGCACAAUGGGCGGAAGCCUGAUGCAGCAACGCCGCGUGCGGGAUGACGGCCUUCGGGUUGUAAACCGCUUUCGCAUGUGACGAAGCGUGAGUGACGGUAAUGGGUAAAGAAGCACCGGCUAACUACGUG
Molecule: ribosomal RNA, 468 nt
Filed under: uncultured bacterium
Lineage: Bacteria
Description: partial 16S ribosomal RNA
Rfam family: Bacterial small subunit ribosomal RNA
Source: RNAcentral